GAGGGGAGGAGGAGGGAGCUCGGAUCGGAUCGGAUCGGCUCAGCUCGGAUCGGCUCGGCUGCCAGGAACCUGCCUGGGCAAGACGACGGAGCAAAAAAAAUUACAGCCGGGAAUAAACAAACAGCAGAACACCUUCCCCGGCCGAGCUCAAAGCGGGAGCGCUGUGUCGUACAGCGCGCGCACCGAGACGAGGGCGUCGUCACUCGCGCGCGGAGGGCGUUCCACGCCGCCGUUUGGCUCCUUUUCCCCGUGUUUGUCGCGCAGGGAGGCGGCGGAGCGCGCGGCCGCCAUCUUUGGGGACUCGCCUAUGAGGGGAAAGGAGCAGUCGGGCCACACUUAGCCGCGGGUUGCAGUUCCCGCACACGUCGGACGGCAAGAGAAGCUCGGGCUGACAGCGCACGGUCGGGACACGGGAGGACCGGCAGAGAGGAGGGGAAAGCGCGGAUCCGAAGAGGAGUCAGUGCCCCUACGUGUCUACCGCUCCAGCUCCCGUUGCCACGCCGGGCCUGGAGGAAGUGCUAAUUUCUGGAUGUCAGCUAAGCAUGAAUGGACAGAAUCGACACUGUGAUCACACAACGGAGGAAUUCCAGCACUCCUCUUCUGUCACCCUGUCCUGCUGCAUUCCUGCUUCUCCUGCUGGAACCAUAACCUCGCCCCUCUGGCCAUGUCCCCACACCCAACCGACUGGGGUGGACAAGGCUUCACUCCUGCUGGGAUGCAAGCUGUCACAGCAUGGUUUUGUGAUAGAAGAACUUGGAAGGUUGUAGGUUUAGAUCCUAAGACAAGGGGUCCUACUGCUUGAGUGUGUAAAGCAGGGAACUGCUGAUGUACUUGAACUGAUUCAGCAGUAAAUCCUGCCAUAUAAAUGGUUAUAGAGGGGCAGCGGUUUGCUUAGCAGACAUGGACUUUUAAACAGAAGGUUACAGGUUCAUGCCAGAUUCCAUGUCCCCCAUUCCUGUCUGCUGUUGUGUGCCUGAGAACUGUGCCAAUAAAAAUACCAACUUCUGACA
This 1010-nucleotide long non-coding RNA is filed under the name Scleropages formosus (Asian bonytongue). RNAcentral describes it as "lncRNA (ENSSFOG00015025011.1)". The record is from RNAcentral. Lineage: Eukaryota; Metazoa; Chordata; Actinopteri; Osteoglossiformes; Osteoglossidae.